This 377-nucleotide ribosomal RNA is filed under the name uncultured Serratia sp. RNAcentral describes it as "bacterial SSU rRNA". It matches the Rfam family "Bacterial small subunit ribosomal RNA", at positions 521 to 896 of the family's 1533-position model. The record is from RNAcentral. Lineage: Bacteria; Pseudomonadati; Pseudomonadota; Gammaproteobacteria; Enterobacterales; Yersiniaceae.
UAAUACGGAGGGUGCAAGCGUUAAUCGGAAUUACUGGGCGUAAAGCGCACGCAGGCGGUUUGUUAAGUCAGAUGUGAAAUCCCCGGGCUCAACCUGGGAACUGCAUUUGAAACUGGCAAGCUAGAGUCUCGUAGAGGGGGGUAGAAUUCCAGGUGUAGCGGUGAAAUGCGUAGAGAUCUGGAGGAAUACCGGUGGCGAAGGCGGCCCCCUGGACGAAGACUGACGCUCAGGUGCGAAAGCGUGGGGAGCAAACAGGAUUAGAUACCCUGGUAGUCCACGCUGUAAACGAUGUCGAUUUGGAGGUUGUGCCCUUGAGGCGUGGCUUCCGGAGCUAACGCGUUAAAUCGGACCGCCUGGGGAGUACGGCCGCAAGGUUA